Molecule: small nucleolar RNA, 106 nt
Filed under: Brassica napus (rape)
Lineage: Eukaryota; Viridiplantae; Streptophyta; Magnoliopsida; Brassicales; Brassicaceae
Description: Plant small nucleolar RNA R71
Rfam family: Plant small nucleolar RNA R71
About the family: R71 is a member of the C/D box family of snoRNAs containing the C (UGAUGA) and D (CUGA) box motifs.
Source: Rfam by way of RNAcentral
AACCCAUGGUGUGGGCACUCUCUCUGGUAUUCCUUAUACCUUUCCCAAGCCUCAUAAAAAGGUUCAUCAGACUUCUGCUGAAGUUGGAGAUUCUGUUCCGUAGAGC